Molecule: ribosomal RNA, 253 nt
Filed under: uncultured bacterium
Lineage: Bacteria
Description: partial 16S ribosomal RNA
Rfam family: Bacterial small subunit ribosomal RNA
Source: RNAcentral
GACGAACCGUCCAAACGUUAUUCGGAAUUACUGGGCUUAAAGGGUGCGUAGGCGGCGCGGAAAGUUGGGUGUGAAAUCCCUCGGCUCAACCGAGGAACUGCGCCCAAUACUACCGUGCUUGAGGGAGAUAGAGGUGAGCGGAACUUAGGGUGGAGCGGUGAAAUGCGUUGAUAUCCUAAGGAACACCGGUGGCGAAAGCGGCUCACUGGAUCUCUUCUGACGCUGAGGCACGAAAGCGAGGGUAGCGAACGGG